AGAAAAUCCAAAUUAAUCCGUUCUUGAUUUUUUCCUCCAUUCCCGUUUUUCAGUUAUGCGGUUAAGAAGCUAAGCUGGCCAGCACUACUUUAAGGUGAAGAGGAGAGGAAUUUAGAUCAAGCAGCGCAGUUUUUGUCAGUUGGAGUUGAUCACAGAGAAAACCCUUUUCCUCGACUGCGAGCUUCCACUGUUCCUCCUUCGAUUCCUCAGGUUGAAGAUUAGUCUGCUGCGAAGGAGACUUGGAACCAGUGGAAUUGAUCCCUCAUUUUGAUAUUGAGGAGAAGGGAAGAUGAUUUCUGCAGAAGAGAGUGAUGAUGCGGCUCAAGUUCCGUCAACGCCAAAAAAGAUAUACAAGGAUCCUGAUGAUGGCCGCCAAAGGUUUUUGCUUGAAUUGGAGUUCGUUCAGUGUCUAGCUAAUCCAACCUACAUUCAUUGUAAGUUUU
Molecule: long non-coding RNA, 443 nt
Organism: Macadamia integrifolia
Lineage: Eukaryota; Viridiplantae; Streptophyta; Magnoliopsida; Proteales; Proteaceae
Exons: 3
Source: RefSeq, a predicted model, not a curated record